Molecule: ribosomal RNA, 776 nt
Filed under: uncultured Neocallimastigales
Lineage: Eukaryota; Fungi; Neocallimastigomycota; Neocallimastigomycetes; Neocallimastigales
Description: partial large subunit ribosomal RNA
Rfam family: Eukaryotic large subunit ribosomal RNA
Source: RNAcentral
CGCAUCUGUGCAUGCAGCAUAUCAAUAAGCGGAGGAAAAGAAACUAACAAGGAUUCCCCUAGUAACGGCGAGUGAAGCGGGAAGAGCUCAAAUUUGAAAUCUUAAAGGGUUUCCCUUUACGAAUUGUAGUUUAAAGAAUGUGUUUUCUGUUGAGGUUUUGGUAAAAGUUCUUUGGAAUAGGACAUCAUAGAGGGUGAGAAUCCCGUAUUUGACCUUUACUUUCAACUUUGUGAUACACUUUCAAAGAGUCGGAUUGUUUGGGAAUGCAGUCCAAAAUGGGUGGUAAAUUUCAUCUAAAGCUAAAUAUUGGCGAGAGACCGAUAGCGAACAAGUACCGUGAGGGAAAGAUGAAAAGAACUUUGAAAAGAGAGUUAAACAGUACGUGAAAUUGUCAAAAGGGAAGCGUUUGACACCAGUGUUGUUUUUCUGAAAAUCAAUUAAAGAACUGUUUAUGCUAAGUUGUUUAGACUUUAUCAGCUAAUCUGCUUAGUUUUGAGCUUUUCUUUAAUGCACUUUUCAGUUAACAAGUCAACAUCAAUUUCUUUUGCUGUAAAAAAGCUUGAGGAAGGUGGCUUGAGAUUCGUCUUAAGUGUUUAUAGCCUCUUGCCUAUGCAGUCGGAGAGAUUGAGGUCUGCAGCGUAGAUCCUUCGGGGCUAAAUGCAUUUGUGCUAAGUUAUAGCAUUUUAUAGACAACUUGUUGACUAUGAUUUGUCUUGUAGCUUACUCGCUUAUGUUAUUUUACCUACGCUUAGGAUGUUGAAGAUGUAGCACAUCAU